This 233-nucleotide long non-coding RNA is filed under the name Homo sapiens (human). RNAcentral's name for it is "HSALNT0150473". The record is from RNAcentral. Lineage: Eukaryota; Metazoa; Chordata; Mammalia; Primates; Hominidae.
GGAAGAGACACAGUGAUUACUUCUGGAAAUGUACAUGUUAUUUAUUUACCAUGGAUUCAUCAUGAUAGUGCAUUGUGUGGCUACAGAAUGCUUCUUAAUGAAAAUCCUCAUGAGUAGAUGGAUGCCCUCUUUUAUAAUUUAAUACAUGGCUCUUCUGUGAAUACAGAUUUAGUAAAUGAUGUCAGGAACAGAACAAGAAGAUUUUAUUUAUAGCUAUACGUCCAUAUCCAGGU